UACGUAGGUGGCAAGCGUUGUCCGGAUUUACUGGGCGUAAAGAGCGCGCAGGCGGUCGUUCAAGUCGCGUGUGAAAGCCCCCGGCUCAACUGGGGAGGGUCACGCGAUACUGAUCGACUGGAAGGCAGGAGAGGGUAGUGGAAUUCCCGGUGUAGUGGUGAAAUGCGUAGAUAUCGGGAGGAACACCAGUGGCGAAGGCGGCUCACUGGCCCGGUACUGACGCUGAGGUGCGAAAGCGUGGGGAGCAAACAGG
RNAcentral lists this ribosomal RNA (253 nucleotides) under uncultured bacterium. RNAcentral describes it as "partial 16S ribosomal RNA". It matches the Rfam family "Bacterial small subunit ribosomal RNA", at positions 524 to 776 of the family's 1533-position model. The record is from RNAcentral.